GAUGAACGCUGGCGGCGUGCUUAACACAUGCAAGUCGAACGAAGCAUUUAAGACAGAUUCUUUCGGGAUGAAGACUUAUCUGACUGAGUGGCGGACGGGCGAGUAACGCGUGGGUAACCUACCCUGUACAGGGGGAUAACAGUUAGAAAUGACUGCUAAUACCGCAUAAGCGCACAGUACCGCAUGGUACAGUGUGAAAAACUCCGGUGGUACAGGAUGGACCCGCGUCUGAUUAGUUAGUUGGCAGGGUAACGGCCUACCAAGACGACGAUCAGUAGCCGGACUGAGAGGUCGAACGGCCACAUUGGAACUGAGAUACGGUCCAGACUCCUACGGGAGGCAGCAGUGGGGGAAUAUUGGGCAAUAGGCGAAAGCCUGACCCAGCGACGCCGCGUGAGGGAAGACGGUCUUCGGAUUGUAAACCUCUGUAGACAGGGACGAAACAAAUGACGGUACCUGUAAAGUAAGCCACGGCUAACUACGUG
Molecule: ribosomal RNA, 485 nt
Filed under: uncultured bacterium
Lineage: Bacteria
Description: bacterial SSU rRNA
Rfam family: Bacterial small subunit ribosomal RNA
Source: RNAcentral